Molecule: long non-coding RNA, 1237 nt
Organism: Diceros bicornis minor
Lineage: Eukaryota; Metazoa; Chordata; Mammalia; Perissodactyla; Rhinocerotidae
Exons: 4
Source: RefSeq, a predicted model, not a curated record
UAAUUUUUUAAUUUCCAUUAGUUGUUUUCAAGGUAACAGAUGAAGGAAAUCUACUACUACAAAAAGUAAGGCUACAUCAAUAUUCCCAAAGGUGCAGAAAGAGAAUCUGCCAAUCUGGCUUUGCUAUUUCUACCUCAGCAGGAAGAGCUUAACUCGUCUGCAAUCCCACUACGGAAACUAAGACUUCCUGCAUCCCAAGGCUGACAUAGUUUUCAUGGAAUCCAGCUUGCCCUACCAAAGAGACCUAUUUCAGUGAAGUCAUAAGAGUCUCUCAAAACCAACUGAUCAUCUCUGGAAUGUCAGAAUCUUCUUGAGUAGUCAGCCUUCUUAAAAACAUCAUCAUGAUGGGUCAUUUGCUCUUCAUGAUCACCAUUUUUUUUGAGCAAAUAUCCAAGCUUCCUGCUUGGUAGAGAAACCUAGGCAAGAGAGAAUGUAGCCUGGGAAGCCAUGGAUAAGAGGUUUCAGUCAUCAAUCCUGGACAGUGAUGGCAUUGAAGCCUCAAUAAUAGUUAUGGAACUGGAGUGGAAAGUAGGAUGUGGUAGGCUGGGUCUGUGUAAGCAGUUUAAAGAAAUUGAAUUUACGGAUUUGAAAUUUAGUUAAACAUUUUGGCAGAAAUCAUCACUCCAGGAAUUUUGGAAACAGUCUAAUCACACUUGAAGUUGAGGACAUCUCCUUGACUUCUUACUUAUUGAGCUCAGUUCUGAAUCCUGAAUAUCUGGGAUGCUGCCCCAGGGCAGCCUUUGUCAAUUCCUGGAUGGUUGAUAUAGCCUCGCCAAGACGCUACCUACUCUCUGUGCUUCUGGGCUUCCUAGAACACUAGGGUCCCACCACAUAUAUAUUGAUGUUGUAGGGAGAAAAAAAAAGUAUGGUGGUCAAAAUCUUUGGGAAAUAGUGGUUUAAAUGUUCAACAGGUUUAUUAUUUAUUACAGGACUUCUCAGAGGUUUUAAUAAGCUCAUAUAUGCUAUGAAUCUUUAGGAGAAGCAUCUAGCAUGAACUGUUUUUCAAAAGUAUUUGACCAGGGAUUUUUUUUCUUUUGUUUCUUUCUCUUUUUUUUUUUUUUUUGGUGAGGAAGAUUAGCCCUGAGCUAACAUCUGUUGCCAAUCCUCCUCUUUUUUUUUGGUGAGGAAGAUUGGCCCUGGGCUAACAACCGUGCCCAUCUUCCUCUACUUUAUAUAUGGGAUGCCUGCCACAGCAUGGCUUGAUAAGUAGUGUGUAGGUCCACACCCGGGAUCUGAA